Molecule: long non-coding RNA, 911 nt
Organism: Myotis lucifugus (little brown bat)
Lineage: Eukaryota; Metazoa; Chordata; Mammalia; Chiroptera; Vespertilionidae
Exons: 3
Source: RefSeq, a predicted model, not a curated record
UCUGUUCUGUCUGGCAGAGCCCAGCAGCGUCCUGUUCAUGAGAGCGUUCUAUGUUCCCUGUCUCACUUCCAUAUUACCCAAGUCUGCUUUGUGGGGACCCCAACCUGCCACACUCCAUCAGUAUGGUUCCCGGGGCUGAGAAGAGCAGGAGCCUGCCCUGGUGGUGGACCUGGUGAACGUGGACUCCCUUCAGGUUCUGACAUCAGCUGGUAUUGUGCUGCAUGACAACGCGCCAUCAAUAAGAAACAUUUCACAAACGUUGCUGUAAUAGCUGCUGCUUUUACAAAGACAAACUAAUCUCCUACUCUUUUUCUCCUCCAGUACCUACUAAGUUGGCAUCCAUCAAAAAUUACUUCUGAUAGCACGCACAUUAUCACCCUUAAAAGGGUGGCAUUAAUAGACGUGUAACGGGGGUUGAUGUCCUGCUGCCAUCUAGACUGGUCAUAUGGAACCUUGAAGGGCAGCAGAAUAUGUCAGUUUGGCGCAAGGAUUCUUUUGAGCUGAAGCAAUUGAGAAGCAGCAGAUAUAAGAAAAGCUCUCUCCUCCUCCUGUUUGCCUAAAAGCAGGACAUGAAUCUAUAAAGGUGCCCCUCCUCCCCUCUCUACCUGGGAAGACAGAAGUUAGUCAUAGAGACAGCUCGAGACUCCUGUCAACCCAGAGACCAGCACCAAAGGAAUCUAAAUAACUUUGCUAAAAUUAGCCCUUAGGUACCAUUAGUUUUCCCAUAUAUUUGCCUUCCCACAAUUUGCCACAUUAGGCACUCAACGUUCUUUUCCUUUGUCUUGUCACUUCUCUAAAACUUCAUUGUUCUGUUGUUAAGAGGCUGAGUUCUAACCACUCCUCUGAUUUACUCUUCACUGAGCACUCCCAUGAAUAGGUACAAAGCGCAUGUUAACAAACUGUUGUUUGCU